UCCCAGUUUUCGUCUCCUGGCGGGGGUUAU
This 30-nucleotide non-coding RNA is filed under the name Rattus norvegicus (Norway rat). Lineage: Eukaryota; Metazoa; Chordata; Mammalia; Rodentia; Muridae. The record is from RNAcentral.